ACGGAAAGAAGGAAAAGGAGGGAAAGGAGGGAGAGGGGGGAAAGGAGGGAAAGGAGGGAAAGGAGGGAAAGGAGGGAAAGGAGGGAAAGGAGGGAAAGGAGGGAAAGGACGGAAAGGAGGGAAAAGAGGGAAAAGAGGGAAAGGAGGGAAAGGAGGGAAAAGAGGGAAAGGAGGGAAAAGAGGGAAAGCAUGGAAAGGAGGGAAAGGAGGGAAAGUAGGGUAAGGAGGGAAAGAAGGGAAAUGAGGAAAAUGAGGGAAAGGAGGGAAAAGAGGAAAGGAGGGAAAGGAGGGUAAGGAGGGAAAGGAGGGAAAGGAGGGAAAGGAGGGUUAAGAGGGAAAGGAGGGUUAAGAGGGAAAGGAGGGAAAAUAGGGAAAGGAGGGAAAGGAGGGAAAUGAUGGAAAGGAGGGAAAGGACUGAAAGGAGGGAAAUGAUGGAAAGGAGGGAAAAUAGUGAAAGGAGGGAAAGGAGGGAAAGGAGGGAAAGAAGGGAAAGGAGGGGAAAGGAGGGAAAGGAGGGAAAGGAGGGAAAGGAGGGACGGGUGGGAAAGGAGGGAAAGGAGGGAAAGGAGGGAAAGGAGGGAAAGGAGGGAAAGGAGGGAAAUGAGGGAAAGGAGGGAAAUGAUGGAAAUGAGGGAAAGGAGGGAAAGGAGGGAAAGGAGGGCAUUGGACUACUUGCUGAUCCGUUGGUUGAUGCAUCCUCUCUCGAGCCACAAUUUGUCGCGCACACGAAAGUGUCUUUCGGAGCAGCAGCCCAAGACAGGCACAGUACACGCCGACUUAAGCACAAUAAUAAACGCACCAACUGGCUCUUUGCAAAUAACGCCUUCAUUAUUUUUUUCCAUUGAAUUUAUACUCUAAAAAUGCUGACCGUCGUCGAUCAGCAUAUUUUUCUUAGUCUAUUCUUCUAGCCUAUGUUUCCAUUAAAUCGUUAAAUUCCAUUUAAUCGUUAAGCGCGUUUAAUCGCUGGCGCGUUGCAUAACGUAGCUAUUCAGCAAGUAUUGCUACCUAGCAACGUUUUGUUUUUAAGGCUAAAUUAUCGUAAGCGAAAGACGGAAAAAAGGAAAAGGAGGGAAAGGAGGGAGAGGAGGGAAAGGAGGGAAAGGAGGGAAAGGAGGGAAAGGAGGGAAAGGAGGGAAAGGAGGGGAAGGAGGGAAAGGAGGGAAAGGAGGGAAAGGAGGGAAAGGACGGAAAGGACGGAAAGGAGGGAAAAGAGGGAAAAGAGGGUAAAGAGGGAAAGGAGGGAAAAGAGGGAAAGCAGGGAAAGGAGGGAAAGGAGGGAAAGGAGAGAAAGGAGGGAAAGGAGGGAAAUGAGGGAAAGGAGGGAAUGGAGGGAAAGGAGGGAAAGGAGGGAAAGGAGGGAAAGGAGGGAUAAGAGGGAAAGGAGGGAAAGGAGGGAAAGGAGGGACGGGAGGGAAAGGAGGGAAAGGAGGGUAAAGAGGGAAAGGAGGGAAAAUAGGGAAAGGAUGGAAAAGGAGGGAAAGGAGGGAAAGGAGGGAAAGGAUGGAAAGGAGGGAAAGGGAGGAAAUGAGGGAAUGGAGGGAACGGAGGGCAUUGGACUACUCUCGAGCCACAAUUUGUCGCGCACACGAAAGUGUCUUUCGGAGCAGCAGCCCAAGACAGGCACAGUACACGCCGACUUAAGCACAAUAAUAAACGCACCAACUGGCUCUUUGCAAA
Long non-coding RNA from Anopheles coluzzii, 1677 nucleotides. RefSeq lists it as uncharacterized. The transcript has 3 exons. Lineage: Eukaryota; Metazoa; Arthropoda; Insecta; Diptera; Culicidae. The record is from RefSeq and is a predicted model, not a curated record.